This 309-nucleotide ribosomal RNA is filed under the name uncultured eukaryote. RNAcentral's name for it is "partial 18S ribosomal RNA". It matches the Rfam family "Eukaryotic small subunit ribosomal RNA", at positions 1470 to 1796 of the family's 1831-position model. The record is from RNAcentral.
CCCUUAGAUGUUCUGGGCGACCCGCGCACUACAUUGGCACUAGCAAAGAGAUCCUAGAUUGAAUUCUUUGGGGUAUUCUUCUAAAUGGUGUCGUGACUGGGAUAAAUCCUUGUAAUUAUUGGUUUUGAACGAGGAAUUCCUUGUAAUCGCGGUUUAUCAGCUCGCGCUGAAUGCGUCCCUGCCCUUUGUACACACCGCCCGUCGCUCCUACCGAUGGAUCGUCCGGUGAAGCUCACGGAGUGACUGUUCACGCAACGGUUUACGAAGUGAAAUGGACCUCACGAUUUAGAGGAAGGAGAAGUCGUAACA